RNAcentral lists this small RNA (84 nucleotides) under Enterobacter cloacae. RNAcentral describes it as "isrK". It matches the Rfam family "isrK Hfq binding RNA". Lineage: Bacteria; Pseudomonadati; Pseudomonadota; Gammaproteobacteria; Enterobacterales; Enterobacteriaceae. RNAcentral also lists the same sequence under 1 other name. The record is from RNAcentral.
GCACCUGCAAAAUCAGGUGCCGGGAUUGGAACCCUGAAUCACUUCACUGGCGACACAGGCUCUGUGUCGUACGGCCUGUUGCAU